GCUUCAGAAGCACAUACUAAAACUGGAAUGAUACAGAGAAUAUCAGCAUGGCCCCUGCACAAGGAUGACAUGUAAAAAGACACUGUUAAAUUACUA
RNAcentral lists this small nuclear RNA (96 nucleotides) under Octodon degus (degu). Lineage: Eukaryota; Metazoa; Chordata; Mammalia; Rodentia; Octodontidae. The record is from RNAcentral.